AUUGAACGCUCGCGGCAGGCCUAACACAUGCAAGUCGAGCGAGCGGCGGACGGGUGAGUAAUGUAUGGGGACUGCCCGAUCGAGGCGGAUAACUCCUGGAACCGGUAGCUAAUCCCGCAUACCAUCGGCUAACCCAUCUGGGAUUAGCUAGUAGGUGAGGUAAUGGCUCACCUAGGCGACGAUCCCUAGCUGGUCUGAGAGGAUGAUCAGGCACGCUGGGAUUGAGACACGGCCCAGACUCCUACGGUGGCAGAAGGGGGGAAUAUUGCACAAUGGGGGCAAGCCUGAUGCAGCCAUGCCGCGUGUAUGAAGAAGGCCCUAGGGUUGUAAAGUACUGUCAGUCGGGAGGGGUUACCGACAGAAGAAGCACCGGCUAACUCCGUGCCAGCAGCCGCGGUAAUUC
Molecule: ribosomal RNA, 403 nt
Filed under: uncultured bacterium
Lineage: Bacteria
Description: partial 16S ribosomal RNA
Rfam family: Bacterial small subunit ribosomal RNA
Source: RNAcentral